AUCCAGCUGAAGAGUUCAAAAUGGGACGAAACGCGCGUCAAACUGGAU
Non-coding RNA from Schistosoma mansoni, 48 nucleotides. The record is from Rfam. Lineage: Eukaryota; Metazoa; Platyhelminthes; Trematoda; Strigeidida; Schistosomatidae.